UACGGAGGGUGCAAGCAUUAAUCGGAUUUAUUGGGCGUAAAGGGCGCGUAGGCUGGGAUAUAAGUUAAAUGUGAAAUUCCACAGCUCAACUGUGGAGCUGCAUUUAAAACUAUAUUUCUUGAGGGUAGGCGGAGAAAACGGAAUUCCAUGUGUAGCGGUGAAAUGCGUAGAUAUAUGGAGGAACACCGGUGGCGAAAGCGGUUUUCUAGCUUAUUCCUGACGCUGAGGCGCGAAAGCAAGGGGAGCAAACAGG
RNAcentral lists this ribosomal RNA (253 nucleotides) under uncultured bacterium. RNAcentral's name for it is "partial 16S ribosomal RNA". It matches the Rfam family "Bacterial small subunit ribosomal RNA", at positions 524 to 776 of the family's 1533-position model. The record is from RNAcentral.